ACAGACGAGUUUGAUCCUGGCUCAGAUUGAACGCUGGCGGCAUGCUUUACACAUGCAAGUCGAACGGUAGACCCGUUUCGGGGGUUGAGAGUGGCGAACGGGUGAGUAAUGCAUCGGAACGUGCCCAGUCGUGGGGGAUAACGCAGCGAAAGUUGUGCUAAUACCGCAUACGACCUGAGGGUGAAAGCGGGGGACCGGUAACGGCCUCGCGCGAUUGGAGCGGCCGAUGUCUGAUUAGCUAGUUGGUGGGGUAAAGGCUCACCAAGGCGACGAUCAGUAGCGGGUCUGAGAGGAUGAUCCGCCACACUGGGACUGAGACACGGCCCAGACUCCUACGGGAGGCAGCAGUGGGGAAUUUUGGACAAUGGGGGAAACCCUGAUCCAGCCAUGCCGCGUGCGGGAAGAAGGCCUUCGGGUUGUAAACCGCUUUCGGACAGAAAGAAAUCGCAUGGAUUAAUACUCUGUGUGGAUGACGGUACUGUAAGAAGAAGCACCGGCUAACUACGUG
This 508-nucleotide ribosomal RNA is filed under the name uncultured bacterium. RNAcentral's name for it is "bacterial SSU rRNA". It matches the Rfam family "Bacterial small subunit ribosomal RNA", at positions 1 to 507 of the family's 1533-position model. The record is from RNAcentral.